Molecule: long non-coding RNA, 895 nt
Filed under: Cricetulus griseus (Chinese hamster)
Lineage: Eukaryota; Metazoa; Chordata; Mammalia; Rodentia; Cricetidae
Description: lncRNA (ENSCGRG00000026467.1)
Source: RNAcentral
CCUUCCUCUCCUCUUCCCCUUAAAGCGGCAACCAAUCCUUCCAGGAGCGAGAGGUGGCCCCACGCUAGGUCCAGGACUUUGGGCGGGGAGGAAGCUGGGUUGGCGGCGUCCGUGCGGGGGCGUCGGAGCGGGAGGGCCAGAGACCAAAUCAAGGGCCCGGAGGUAACUGUGAGUCCAGGGCUCUGGUGGGAGUUGGGUGAUCGCCUAGUCCCUUUGAUUGGACUGUGUCCGCUCUCCUGGAAACUUGAGACAGACCCCCACCGUGAUACAGGAAAGAGAAGCCCAGCCAGGGCUGGAGAGGUUGAAGAAGGAGCGAGAAGCUGAGAAGUGGGAGUCUGGCCAUCUGGGAGGGACUGGGAAUACUUUCCACCCUGAGCAACGCUUCCUGGCAACGUCUGCCCACAGAGGGCUUGCCUGGUGUCCUCCCUUCCUCAGCCAUAGAGUCCUUUCCAAGGCUCACUACAUGUAAAGCAGCUGGCAUCUCCUUACAAGGACUCCUAGGCGACGUUACGACCCCUAAGUACAGAAGAGCAAAUAGGAUUCAGAGAACUUAUGUGAAUGCCUCAAGUUGGCACAGCUCUACAGUGGAACAACCAGGUCCCAACCUGGGGCAGGACAUUUCCAGCUCAUCCCAGUUUGCGCCACCCUCACUGGAGGUGCUCGGAGGUUCUGGACUAUUAGUGUAAGAGUGAUACCUGCAUACACAUGCCAUUCUCUCUGAAUUUUUAAAACAAAGAAGCAUGUAUGAAUAGAAAAUGAAUCACCUUUCCUUUAUCAUUCUCUUUAUUCUGAAUGGAUUUGAGGACCAGGUGAGUUCUCAGACAGGUGAGUGGGAUUUGAACACAGUUGGAUUGGCUAGCAUUGCAUACAUAAUGGUGUUUGUGACUAUUGUGCC